CCCUUAGAUGUUCUGGGCCGCACGCGCGCUACACUGAUGCAUUCAACGAGUCUAAAACCUGGUCUGAUAGGGCUGGGUAAUCUUUUGAAUGUGCAUCGUGAUUGGGAUAGAUGAUUGCAAUUCUUCAUCUUCAACGAGGAAUGCCUAGUAAACGCAAGUCAUCAGCUUGCAUUGAUUACGUCCCUGCCCUUUGUACACACCGCCCGUCGCUACUACCGAUUGAACGUUUUAGUGAGGUAUUUGGACUGGGCCUUGGGAGGUUUCGGCCUCCCUUGUUGCUCGGAAAGACUCCCAAACUUGAGCGUUUAGAGGAAGUAAAAGUCGUAACA
This 329-nucleotide ribosomal RNA is filed under the name uncultured eukaryote. Its description in RNAcentral is "partial 18S ribosomal RNA". It matches the Rfam family "Eukaryotic small subunit ribosomal RNA", at positions 1470 to 1796 of the family's 1831-position model. The record is from RNAcentral.